AACGAACGCUGGCGGCAUGCCUAACACAUGCAAGUCGAACGGAACCUUCGGGCCUUUUGGGGCAGGUCGAGUUGCGAACGGGUAAGUUACCCUUGGGUUAGCAAUACCUCCCCGAAGGGGAUCUUCAUACAGGUUAAGGUCUUCGCGCAAAGGAUUUAUCGCCUUUGGAUGGGCGCGCGUUGGUUUCGCUGGUUGGUAGGGUAAAAGCCGACCAUGGGGACGAUGCUUAGCUGGUCUGAUAGGAUGAUCAGCAACACUGGGACUGAGACACGGCCCAGACUCCUACGGGAGGCAGCAGUGUGGAAUAUUGGACAAUGGGCGAAAGCCUGAUCCAGCAAUGCCGCGUGAGUGAUGAAGGCCUUAGUGUUGUAAAGCUCUUUUACCCGGGAUGAUAAUGACAGUACCGGGAGAAUAAGCACCGGCUAACUCCGUG
RNAcentral lists this ribosomal RNA (433 nucleotides) under uncultured bacterium. Its description in RNAcentral is "partial 16S ribosomal RNA". It matches the Rfam family "Bacterial small subunit ribosomal RNA", at positions 29 to 507 of the family's 1533-position model. The record is from RNAcentral.